This is a long non-coding RNA of Cyprinodon tularosa, 1193 nucleotides long. RefSeq lists it as uncharacterized. The record is from RefSeq and is a predicted model, not a curated record. NCBI's taxonomy places the organism in Eukaryota, Metazoa, Chordata, Actinopteri, Cyprinodontiformes, Cyprinodontidae. The transcript is spliced from 2 exons.
UGGCAUUAAUAUUAAUGAGAGCUCUUUAACUGCUUCUGUUGGACUGUUCUAACCUGCAUCCUGUUGGAUCAGCUCACAUCUUUCUAUUCUUUAUCCAGGUUGAUUGACUGCGGUUUGUCCAAGAUCAGCUGUGCUUCUCUGGUCUCAGCUCUGAAGUCAAACCCCUCCCAUCUGACAGAACUGGACCUGAGGAAAAAUAACCAGAAGGGGUCAGAUGUUCAGCAGCUGCAGGAUCUUGUAGAGAGUCCAGACUACAAACUGCAGACUCUGUAAGUGGUGGAGGGAUUGGUGAUCUUAGUGGAGGAGAGAAGCUGAUCUGUGUCCUGAUGAUCCUCAGAGGUUGAAGCUGCAGCAGUUUGAGUUUAAAGAGACUCUGACUGGAUCCUGAUGAUGAACUCUGAGUUUAGAGAUUUGUUUGUUUUCACUCCUUUUUUCUCUUUGUUUUCAUCGUCUCCAUAAUAUCAUGUUGAUAUUUUGAUCUAUAACAUGUGAAAAGAUUAAUUUAAAAAAGAAUCCUGAACAGUUUUAUCAAACUUUUAAUGAACUUUAAUGUUAAAUUUAGCGGAUGCUGUUGUAAACCUCAGAAAGUUCUCUCUCUUUGGUUUAAUAUUCCCACUGAACUUCCUGGAUCAGAUCUGAAAAGCUGCUCUGUCUUUCUGAUUCUCUGAGAGCUGCAGCAGUUUCAGAUGCUGAGAUCUUUUUUCUUUGGGUGUUUCCUCUAUUUCUCUCCAUUCAUUCUGUCUCCAUGUUCACCUGCUGAAACCUUUAGAUCCUGCUGAAAAUCUUUGUUGUUCCUGCUGAUGAACCACCACUGUGGCUCAUUGUUAGCAGGUUAGCUAAAGCAGGUGUGGAGCGAUCCAGGACCUCAGAUGGACUCAGGAAGCCCUUCCAGUCCGGCCCCAGCAGGGUGGAGGAGGGCUGCUGUCAUUAAGGAGGAGCUGCUUGGACUGAAAAUAGAGUCCAAGGCUGAAUCCCAUCAUUUGGCCUUAACUCUUCCUCACCAACCCUAAGCUAGUGAGCUGUUGGGGGUCCUGGUUGUUCUGAGGAGUUGUAGGGGGGGCACCCAUUGGUCCUUGGACAGGGAUUCUGUUUAGGAGACCGUUUGGAAGCAAAGAUGUUAGAGCUGAGCUUGGAAAUGUUUGUUUUCUCACUUCCAAUGUUUUAAUGACUCAAUAACCAUUGUAGUGUCUAAU